Molecule: long non-coding RNA, 770 nt
Organism: Perca fluviatilis (European perch)
Lineage: Eukaryota; Metazoa; Chordata; Actinopteri; Perciformes; Percidae
Exons: 3
Source: RefSeq, a predicted model, not a curated record
CAGCCCAGACAGGAUAUUAGAAUGGACGUUUCCUUCUUCAGUACGCCACAGGCAGGGCCCUCUCCCACUUGUCUUCUCUGUAGAAAGACACAGAGAAAAGAUAAAGAUGUGAGCGGAGCUGACAGGCUGCUGGAGCCACGGUCUCCUUCGCUGUUUGCAUCUUGAGUCGGUUUCUGAUUUGAUUCUGAGAGGAUGAUUGUGACGGGGGCUUUUUUAUUAUGCGGACAACAGAUGGCAAGGGAUGAUGCUGAUCUCUAUGUCCGAGAUGAGAAGUGCUGGAAGCAUUCCCAGAGUUACGGCAGGCUGAGGCUGCUGGUGAUGACAUCACCCUGAGACGACCUAAUUGGGCAGCUGUUAACCUUCCAGGAUUCAAUGAGAAACAGGUGGUGGGCCCAAACACGUGCUCUUGGCUCGGAGGAAACACCAAAACAGUGUAAUAGCUGACAUGUUGCUAAUAAUGCACUAAACAUUGCCUGAUGGGGUGAUUAAAUGUGUUUUGUGUACAGUAAUGUAUAUUUCAUUUACUGUCACGUUACACAUGAGUAAAAAUCUAGCAGUCCUACUGUAUGCAGCAGUUGUAUGCAAAAGCUUCAUUUUUUUCCUUUUGAGUUGCUGUCUCCUCUGCUCUACUUUACCAAGCAAGUAUUUUGACAUUGAAUACAUAGUUGUUGAAACAAGCUCAUAGUUAUACAACACCGUGCUCAUAUGUUGACACUUGUGUAAAUAUAGCAACAGAAUAAAAACUGCAGCAACAUUUGCUGUCAUCCAUA